Molecule: non-coding RNA, 349 nt
Organism: Erythranthe guttata (spotted monkey flower)
Lineage: Eukaryota; Viridiplantae; Streptophyta; Magnoliopsida; Lamiales; Phrymaceae
Source: RefSeq, a predicted model, not a curated record
UUUAUGAUAGAGCACCAGAUCUUGCCACUGCUAAGGCAAAUCGUCCGGAGGGAUUGAUUAGUUCAUCUACAUGGGAGGAAUUGUGUGAUCAAUUUUUUUCUAUAUCUGAUUCUAGUGGUGAUGGCAAGGUAAAUUAUAUUUCUUUUGAUUUUUUUUUUUCUAAUUUGUCAUGUUCAAAUAAAUUUAAUCGAAGUUUAUUAACAUGUGUCUAUUCACAGUCCAAGUCUGAUAAAUGCCGAGAAUCCCGAAUGAAAAUCCCUACCGACCACCAUUGGGGUCGAACUAGUAUUAGUGGGUGGUCUCAUGAACAUCUUCAAAAAUUUGGUAAAGCUCCUACCGUGGUUGAUAA